AUAGAAAAUGCUUUCUGAAGCAUGAGAAUCUGAAAUGCACUGACAUAUACACGUUUUCCUCAGCUCUUUUUUCUCCACUGGGCUAGUGUGAGAAAUGUAGUUCCAGGGAAAGGCUUUAAAUCUUGCUAUAUUUCUCUGUAAGGAAAAUAGAUCCACUCCAUGAGGUGAAAUUUCCCAAAGCACAUCUGGCUCAAUUUAGCAGGCACAUAAUUUUUAGGUAAUUGAGGGAAGUUGUGGGCUCUUUCCCACAAGAAGCCCUAACUGCCCAAGGUGUGAGAGGUGUAUCUCACUGCUACUUUAGCCUCAGUCCCAGGCAGCACGCUGCCUCCCAGUAUGUGACUGUUGCUCUCAAGUUUUCAAAGCAUUAUGGAUCUUUGAAGGGAGGUUUAGGCUUGGAUGAGUUCAGAGAUUCUUAAAUUAAGGGUUUUGUUUGUUUGUUUGUUUGUUUUUUGGGUUUGUUUUUUUUUUGAGAAAUUAAGUGCAAGAGGCACCACUAGAAGGCAAUUCAGACCUCAAGAGGGUAGGAGCAUCCCCUGGAGGUGCUUCCGUCACUCCUCAUUUGCUGUAUAAAGAGCCCAAGGUGAUGAGACUGCCGUUUGAGUGCUCAAAAAAUAGGUAGGCUUAUUUCUCUCCUUUAUGCCAUUGCAAAUUCCAUGUUUUGUCUUUGGUACAGCUUGCACAGGACCAUAGAUUAAUGCAAUAUUGAUGUUCUGUGGCAAGUUAAAAGGCCAAUAAGAUUACUGCUCAAUGUGAAUUAUUUCACCUCUUUGAUACCUGCUUUGUCCUUAACUCUCUUAAUGGCACAGUGUGCUUUCCUACCCCGGUGACAUCCAGUUGCAUGUAUUGUUAAUUUUUUGCUUUGUAGCUUGCAUCUAGAUUACAGUUUGUAUGUCCCCAGAGUGGUAUCAGUUGCCUGAAAUCCUGAUUCCUCGGUGUUGUGUGGCUUGCAUAAAUGUCAGCUGGUCCAAGGGAGCAGUUUUAAAAGAAACAGAGCUGAUCUGACAUUCUUCAAAGGGAAGCCUGGGAGACUCAUCUCUGCACCUGGGUUUGUUAUAUGCACUGAGCAACGGGAAGAGUGCUAUGAAUGCUGUCACUCGAGCAGUGAAGAGGGACAGGCAGCCAUGUCAAAAAUGACAAUGUUUCUUUUACUAGUCUUGCAAAAGAUGUCUGUGGUGAUGUGACUGCAGAUGACAUCAAACAACAUAAAUGGCUGGUUUCUGCAGUAGAUUGAAAUUCAUCCAGUUCCCUGUGUUCACUGUGAUGACUUUCAAUGCUAAUUCUCAGUGAGUGAGGCAUGAAAUGUAUGCAUAGGCUAUACACAGUUAGGAUACUUCCAAGUUUUUUGAGGUACCUGUGAUGUAAACAUCUGUGCAUCUUGCUUUCAUGCAUUUUUUUUCCCUAGGUUUCAGUGGUGCAGCUAAAGAAACUGGAAGAGGAGAGAACACGAUUGCUGAUCUAGUUCUUUUUAUGAAAAGAAUGAGUGCUUCAUUGUCUGAGCAGAGGGAAAUACAGGCUAGAAGCACACUUUCAUCUCCUCAAACACAGAAGGGAUCAGCUGGAUUGAUGCAAAUGAAAUGCUUUUGAAAGUGAUGCCCAAAGCUUGCUGUAUGCACUGAGCAGAGCUGGGGAUUGUUUGAAAUUUCAUUUGGAAAUCUAAAUAAUGUUAGAUCGUGUAAAAGAUGAAAAAAGUUUUAGCUCGAACUUUACUGCACGAAUUUAAUGCUCUUUGAAGCUGAAUCUAAAUCCAGCCUUCAGCACACACUGUGUCCUACAGCUGCAUCAGUGUGUGUGCUUCACUGUAUUUUGAGAGGAUGCUUCUCAGUCCUGACUUCAGAUGACUCUCACUGCUCUUCUCAGGAUUACCUGGAAGAAAGAGGCUGCUAAAUACAAAGGAGGAGAGAAAUGCCUCCUGGGCAUAUAUGGAAGGUCAUGGGCAUCUGGUGACAGGAAAUACUCUCUGGGAUCUACAGAAUAACAGAACUGGGAGAAAAACCUAAUUGGCAGUGCAUCAGUUCUAACCUGUGCAAGUUGAUAUCAUGGCUGUUUGCAGCUGGUAUAAAUGGGAAACUGAAUAGAAUAAGCUGAACUUUUGAAGACCUUCACCUUGGAAAGGCAGAUGAUGCAGGAUCAGAAGGAUGAUGUAUGAAGUAACCACACCAGGUGAAAACAGAAAGAAGUCUUCCUGUGAAAUCAACGGGCAUGCAGGCAAGAGCCAUCAUUGCCAUAACUAAUAUUAGCUGCAGAUAUUAAAAUUAUGCUUUCAUCAGGAGAAGUACAUCCAGUUACGAGGAUGAAUUUCCCUUCACUUCUAAUUAAGCAAGUAAACUAAAAUAGAAAGGAACAUCCUGUCACAUCUCAGUGCACAUAGGAAGCAAGGUGAACAAGACCCUGGCCUCACGUCUUGGCUUCUUCCCAUAAUGUUGACCAAUAAAGCACAUGUCCAUGAAAAGUUCAAGUCCUAAACAAGCCCUCUCAUUAGAAGAUCUGAAAAGGACAAGACUUCAUGCUGAGGGUCAUUAACAAGGGAGCUGCCUUCACAGAUAAUUUGCCAUGCACACACAGGUGCCCAUCAUGGUUCCACAACCUGCUUGAUUCUCAGUAGUUUUAACUACCGAUGUUCUGUCUAGCUUUCUGGAUAUUCAUUUGUUUUCCAGCCUCCACAACCUGAGUGCAUUUCGAUGUACAAUCCAACUAUCUAUCUCCAUCAACCACAAACAGCAUGCAGAGGAACUGUUGUAGUGUAUGAUUUCUGCCAGGAAAUAACAAACAGGAGGAAAAGACAUACUGCAGACAACAGAAAAAUGAGAAAUGGAGAGCAGAAUGCCCUGAUCUUGCAGUGAACUGGACAGUGCCACUCUCCAAGGGGGUUUAUCCCAUUCCCAACUACUACAGCAAUGGCUGCCACUUCGGAAAUGUUUGUACUUCUCUAAAACUAGUCAAGAAGUCUGAUUCUUUGUGACUGUGAUUGUAGUUUACUAAGUAUGGGAGAGUCUUAACUUUUUCACAGAAUCAUAGAAUAAUAGAAUUACCAAGGUUGGAAAAGACCUCCAAGAUGAUCCAGUUCAACCAUCUACCUAUCCCCAAUAUAUUUUUCCGCUAAAUCAUUUCCCUUACUAUAACAAUUAAAUGUUUCUUAAGCACCUCCAGAGAAGGUAACACAACCAUCUCCCAGGGCAGCCUGUUCCAGUGCCUGACGACUCUUUCAGAUAAGAAAUUUUUCCUAGUAUCCAAUCUGAACCUUCCCUGACACAGCUUGAGCAAGUUACUGUUUUGUUUAAACAGAACUCAGAAUGGUCCAGAAUGACUAGCUUGUUUGAUCUUUUCCAGGGAUAUCACUGAUAUGCAUUCUUCCUCUUCUUUACGGGCUCCUUUUGUGGGCUCUAUGGGUCUUAAAAUCUACUUUAGAAAUAGGUUGAUUACAAAAAGUAUUACAAAAUAAGACAUGUUGAUCAGUAUGUUCCAUGUAGUUUUUUGCUUUUCCACCAAUAGAGGGAGUAAAAUCUUCUUUCCCCUCUGGAGCUUCUGGCCAUGAGGCUGAGCUAUGCUAGACCAACAACUUUGCUGAGAGGCUUUGAAUGUGUGAGGGCAGGAGGUCAUCUAGGUCCAGGAUCACAAUCUUUAGAAAAUUAUGGUAUAGUACCAUCUAGCACAGGCUGUGUGAUAUUAAAUCAGAACAACUGAUGUAUUUUGGGCUGAAUGAAUUUUGCAGCAGUGGUGACAUGCGGAUCAAAAUUUUGCAAUGUGCUGCACUCCCUUCAGGACUAGUGAUGAGAACUGUUAAUUGCAUUAUAUUAUCUAGUGGUAACUGUACCAUUAAUGCAUGUCAGCACCAUUCCUGACAGGGCUGGCUUGAGGGGUUUUCACUGCCGUAGGCAAACUGGAAAGGAUGUGCUACUCUUAGCUGCAUUUACUUUCACUGUAAACAGUCAAAACAGACAGUUGUAUGUAGGUCCCAAUUUAAAUUAUACACCAGUGACUUAUUUAAGUAAUUAGAGCUAUAUUAACCACCCCAACAGCCAAAAAAAUGUUUUGUGAAGAGGAAUCUUCAUGAGAGUAAUUACUUUUCUUUCCUGAUCCCUCCUAGACUGUGAAGUGCUUCUGAGUUUGCGCUGCUUAGUGUGUGCUUGGCAAAUAUGAAAAGAGUGAGGCUGGAACCGACACAUAUUUGUUGCCCAGGGCUGUACACUCUCUGUGGCAUCAAACCCUGUCUGACCUGCAGGGAAAUUCCUAGAUAAGUUAAUACUGGAUGUGUUAGUGCUCUCUCCCAAAUUCUUCUCUUUUUCAUUUUGUGUCUUACAUUACUCUCAAGUUACUAUUUGGCUUUACCAGAAUCAUAAUACCGUAUGAGUUGGAAGAGACGUUUAAAGAUCAUCUAGUCCAACUCUCCUGCACUGAACAGGGACAUCAACAGCUAGAUCAGGUUGCUCAGAGCCCUGUCCAGCCCAACGUUGGAUGUCUCCAGGAAUGGAAUGUCCACCAUCUCUCUGGGCAACCUGUUCCAGUGCCUCACCACUCAUCAUAAAAAACUUUUUUCCUUAUAUUAGUCUAAAUCUUCUUUUAAUUUGAAACUAUUUCUCCUUGUUUUAUCAUAACUUACCUUGCUAAAGAUCUGUCCCUUUUUACAGCCUUCCUUUAGAUACAGAAAGGCCUCUGUUACAUCCCCCUGGAGCCUUCUCUUCUCCAGGCUGAACAGCCCCAGCUCUUUCAGCCUGUCCUUGUAGGUUAUGUGUUCCAUCCCUUGGAUCAUUUCUGUGGCUUUGUUGAACCUCAUGAGGUUCACCUGGGCACACUGCUUAAGCCUGUCUAUGUCUCUCUGGGUGGCAAACUGUCCCUCAGUCAUGUUGACUGUACUCCACAGCUUGGUGUCAUCUGCAAACUCACUGAGGGUGCACUUGAUGACCCCACUGUCAUCAUCAUUGUUGAAGAUAUUAAACAUCAGUGGUCCCAGCACUGACCCUGAGGGACACCACUCAUCACUGAUCUUCAGCAGACAUGAGCUAUUAACCACCACUCUUUGGAUAUGAUCUCACAACCAAUUCCUUGUCCAUCAGAGAGUCCACCUAUCAAAUCCAUAUCUUUCCAAUUUGGAGGGUAGGAUUUUGUGGAGGACCAUGUCAAAGACACUACAGUCAUCCAGAUGGAUGACAUCAGUGGCUCCUCCCUUGUCCACUGAUUCAGUUACACCAUCAUAAAUGGCCCCUAGGUUGGUCAGGAAGGACUUUUCCUUGGUGAAGCCAUGUUAGUUGUCAUGUAUCGUCUCCUUCUCUUCCACAUGUCUUAGCAUAGAUUUCAGGAGGAAAAAAGAGUGUUCUCUGCUAUAUCAUUGUGGGAAUUAGAUUAUUUAAUACAGAAAAACCUCCCUCUCCUAGUAAUUUCUAGCCUGUUUUUCCCUCUGCAGUCUUAAAAGUCAAAAUAUCUAAAUUUAUUGUGAAUUGGAAAGUUGUAACAGACAAUUUGUAAAUAAUGGAAUACCUUCUGUAGCAUUUUAAUUGAAAUUAAUUAUUUCUUCAGUCUUGGGUUGAAAUAUUUCAUCUCAGUGCACUGAAUCAGUUUGAAAUGUUUAGUAUUCAGUUGAUGAACAGUUACUCUUCAGUUUCCAAAGAAAAACUUUUAGGGCAUUGUAAUUUGCUUGUCUUUUUUUUACCUUGCCUUACAGAAAGGUCUAAUUGGCAGUAGUAUGUUUAUCAUCAGUCUUGUAAACGACGUGACUCAGGAUAUCCUACAUGACUUGGUCGUGUGGAGAGAUGCGCAGCUUUACUGAAUAUAUUGCCAGUCAAGGAAGUCUGUGUGAAAUCACAGAGUUAUGUAGCAUCUGCAUCACAGUUCCAGUGGGACUCCCACGAGGUGCUGAGCAGAUGCAACUUGACAUCAGAAUGAUUCAAAUCAAACAUUUCUGCUCAGUAAACCAAAGCAUUUUGAUUUGGUGAGACCACCCUGGAACAAACAACUUUGUUUUUAUUUUCUGGGUUUUGGCAGAAUCAUUUGUUCCUACACAGCUAACAUAAAUAAUUUAAGAAAAACUUCUGUGAAAUCCUAAUACUUGCAUUACAGACAAAUGUGUAUGCAUGCAUAUAUGCAUGUACAAAUACAUGUACAUAUGCUAAUUUAUACAUGUGAAUGUUCAUCUCUCUGUCUCUCCACAUAAAUUCACCUGAGCUCACAUAUGUUUUUCCUCAGUGACAUUUACCUGGGAGGCUUUGCUGUGUUUUAGGCAGGGGAUGAGUAGCCCUAGAUGUUUAAGAUGAAACUUACUUACUGUGUGAAACAAAAGGGAAAAAGGCUACUGUAGCUAUGAGAUGAGUGGUGAGCAUUGUCUUGUCUUUUUUAUUAGUGUGGGGGGAGGCUCUUUUAAGAGUAUGACUGUGUCACCUUGAAAAUAAGUUGAUUAUUCAGUGCAAAAUAUGCAUUAGAAAGUGCUUGAACUGAAGGACUGGCUGGCUCCUGGGAUCAGUAAUCUAAUGUGGGACCUUUAACCUCUUAGUCACCAGUCUGACUCCAGCACAGGUGAAUAAUAAAAUCACAAAUCUCUGCACCUGGCAGCCAUGUGGUUGCAUCAAUAAAGUGAGCUGAUAAUAUCAAUACAAUUUGGUGAGGAAAAAAAAUACCAUAUCUGUGCAAUAAUUUGCAUGUCUUUUAUGAUAUCUCAGCAAACAGCAAAGCCUGAAAGGGCACGGGGAGUUGAAAAUAACAGUGGAUUCAUAUUUCCCACCCUGAACAAUCCCAAAGCAUCUUAUAAUGUAUUAACUUAAGACAUAUUCCAGUGUAGAUCAUCCUGUAAAUACUAGAAGCCAAGGUCUGCUUAAAUCCAGUGAAUUGCUCUACUUGAUAAGGACACCAUGAAGACUGAAUUUGUUUUUAUUUAAAAUUUCCUAAAGAGGGAGUUCUGCUUGAAAAAGCAGGUAUGCAGGGAGUGAGGCACUGAGAUGGCUCCAGGACUUUGUGCAGUUACUUGGCAACAUGGCCCUGGAUCUCCCUGUUUGCCACAGUCCCCAGGACCUGCUUUUGGUUGGGGUUAAUUAGAUGUUGCUUAGUGUAUUCCCUAACAAACACUGAAAUCUUCUGGGAGCUUUCUUGUGGCCUAAGGCUGAACUCACAAUAACUAUGCUAAUGAUUUAAUGGGAACAAGCAGGAAAAGGGUGAGUUACAGAAAACUAUCUGUCUUUUUAACCCCUGUGUGAGCCAGUGUUAAUGUAGGGCUGGCAAACUACAAAGCCUGGCUGGACAUGAGCUGGCUUCCCGCAGAGCCACUUGGAUGUAUCCGCAUUGCAUCCCAGUCUGCUGGUUCCAGCAACAUGAUGUGAAGGCACCCGAGCACAGGGUCUGGAAGCAGUACAGAAGUAUUUAUGCAGAGCUUAAGCUAAUAAGCUCUGCCAGACCUGGCCUAGCCUGCAGUUGUGGCACCAUUUAUCAACAAACUGCAUAAUCUGCCAGGGGGAUAAUAGAGAGCUGACUGUAUAUCAAACAUUUGUUUGUAAUAAAAAUUACAUGCUAUAGUUUUGACUCUAAAGCAUUCGUGGAUUGCAGUCAGACAGUUUACAAGAUUUCUGCCCUUCUCUGUCUGCUGGCCUCCUCCUAAGAGGUGCUGCACUUGUGACAGGGAUGGCUUUAAAUGCUCGUGAAGCAGCUUCUGAGUAGUUCAUAACAUGGGAUUUUAUUUAUUUAUUUAUUUAUUUAUCUGGAAUGAUGGAAGUGAUGAAUAGUACUUAUGUUAAAAGUUUCAAGAAAGCAGGAGACUGAUUCAGACACCUUGGCCCCUUCCUGUUCUGUUUUCUGCAGGUAUGUCAAGUUUUAUGAUUCUCUUGUUAGAGAAGCAAACCUUAUCUUGCUUCUGGCUGCACUUCUUCUGAUCUCUUUGACGGUUGUGAUCCAAUGUGUUGAGAGGAAGAACCAUCAAAAUAUGAUAUAUGAUCAGGGCUUUGGGAAUCAUUAUCCAUCUUCAACAAAGAUAUAACAGUUGCAGUGGUAAGACAGAAAACUUGAAAUACCAGCUUCAAAUGUUCUGUAUUGAGUGUUUUAAAGCAAUAGACAUGAAUGAAAACAAGUGUAUGCUGAUGAUCUUGGAGGGCUGUUCCAACUGAAGCCAUUCUAUGAUGCUGUCAUUCUAUGUUUACUUAUAUACAUGUGGUUGUGUAGGUAGCUCUGGAAGGGCUGGAAAAUCACAACGUUUAAAUUCAAUAAUAAAAGAAUUAGGCAGGAAUGAAUGUGUUUCUUAAAAUUCCUUAUUGGUAUGGUAUUUGAAAGCAGAGAAACAAAUCAGAGGACAGGUUGCGCAAAAACAAAUCAUCAGUGCACUUGAUUUACACUUAUGCAUAUAGAUGGAUUUAGUUGCAGCAAAAAGAGCUGAACCUAAAUAAGUUCAACAGAAGUUUGUCACAACAGUUCUCAGGUCCUACAUACCUUUUGGAAGCAGGUGGGAUAACCUUUCCUGAGUGAUACUUCUGUUACCACAUGCAAUAGGAUUAGGUGCAGUUUUUUGUAGCUGAAGACAUCAUGCUACUGUUCGUCUUCGUAUCGUCUUAGCUCAAGGUUUUCAUCAGAUAUUGCACCUGUGCUUUUCUCAGUGGAGAUGCAUAGUAAGCAAAUACAAUUACUUUAUUUUCUGUUUUUGUAUUGUAGAAAACCCACAAUUUUUCCUGAACUUUGCUGAAGUAGUGAAGCCUAGAGCAGUGUCCCAGAUGACAAUCUGUCCUGCCCAGGUACUGUGAACUACGCAAGAAUCCUCAUACCUCUGGCAUGAAGAUGUUGCAGUUAUGGUGUUUUUAUUUCUACCUCUGCAUUUGUUGCUUUGCACAAUAAACACUGUAUCUUCAUCUGUGAAAGAUAUAAUUCUAUGUAUUUUCCAUUUCCCUUUUUGAUAACACAAUCUGUGAAAGAAGGCACUAGAAUGGAAAUUGCUUUUGGAAAAUGCUGUAGUAUGUAUGUCUUGUAUACCAUGUGACUGAAGAUACUGUCUAUUUGCACUUGGAAAUUUAAAAUAAAUUUCAACUUUUAGGACCCGAA
Long non-coding RNA from Coturnix japonica (Japanese quail), 9000 nucleotides. RefSeq lists it as uncharacterized. NCBI's taxonomy places the organism in Eukaryota, Metazoa, Chordata, Aves, Galliformes, Phasianidae. The record is from RefSeq and is a predicted model, not a curated record.